This 505-nucleotide ribosomal RNA is filed under the name uncultured Glomus. RNAcentral's name for it is "SSU rRNA". It matches the Rfam family "Eukaryotic small subunit ribosomal RNA", at positions 569 to 1079 of the family's 1831-position model. The record is from RNAcentral. Lineage: Eukaryota; Fungi; Glomeromycota; Glomeromycetes; Glomerales; Glomeraceae.
AGCAGCCGCGGUAAUUCCAGCUCCAAUAGCGUAUAUUAAAGUUGUUGCAGUUAAAAAGCUCGUAGUUGAAUUUCGGGAUCAGUAUGUUGGUCGUGCUUCGGUACGUACUGUCAUUACUGGUUUCUACCUUCUGAAGAACCUUGAUGUCAUUAAUUUGGUGUCUUGGGGAAUCAGGACUGUUACUUUGAAAAAAUUAGAGUGUUUAAAGCAAGCAUACGCUUGAAUACAUUAGCAUGGAAUAAUGAAAUAGGACGUUUGAUUCUAUUUUGUUGGUUUCUAGGAUCGACGUAAUGAUUAAUAGGGAUAGUUGGGGGCAUUAGUAUUCAAUUGUCAGAGGUGAAAUUCUUGGAUUUAUUGAAGACGAACUACUGCGAAAGCAUUUGCCAAGGAUGUUUUCAUUAAUCAAGAACGAAAGUUAGGGGAUCGAAGACGAUCAGAUACCGUCGUAGUCUUAACCAUAAACUAUGCCGACUAGGGAUCGGAUGAUGUUAUUUUUAUGACUCAU